This 44-nucleotide non-coding RNA is filed under the name Trichobilharzia regenti. Lineage: Eukaryota; Metazoa; Platyhelminthes; Trematoda; Strigeidida; Schistosomatidae. The record is from RNAcentral.
ACUGGCUGACGAGUCCCAAAUAGGACGAAAUGCACAUCCUGGAU